This 252-nucleotide ribosomal RNA is filed under the name uncultured bacterium. RNAcentral describes it as "partial 16S ribosomal RNA". It matches the Rfam family "Bacterial small subunit ribosomal RNA", at positions 524 to 776 of the family's 1533-position model. The record is from RNAcentral.
UGCGUAGGGGGCGAGCGUUAUCCGGAUUCAUUGGGCGUAAAGCGCGCGUAGGCGGCCGCCUAAGCGGAACCUCUAACCCCGGGGCUCAACCUCAGGCCGGGUUCCGGACUGGGCGGCUCGAGUGCGGUAGAGGAGAGCGGAAUUCCCGGUGUAGCGGUGGAAUGCGCAGAUAUCGGGAAGAACACCGAUGGCGAAGGCAGCUCUCUGGGCCGUCACUGACGCUGAGGCGCGAAAGCUGGGGGAGCGAACAGG